UACGUAGGAGACGAGCGUUGUCCGGAUUCAUUGGGCGUAAAGGGUGCGUAGGCGGCGCGGUAAGUCGGGUGUGAAAUCUUGGAGCUUAACUCCGAAACUGCAUUCGAUACUGCCGUGCUUGAGGACUGGAGAGGAGACUGGAAUUUACGGUGUAGCGGUGAAAUGCGUAGAUAUCGUAAGGAAGACCAGUGGCGAAGGCGGGUCUCUGGACAGUUCCUGACGCUGAGGCACGAAGGCCAGGGGAGCAAACGGG
This 253-nucleotide ribosomal RNA is filed under the name uncultured bacterium. RNAcentral's name for it is "partial 16S ribosomal RNA". It matches the Rfam family "Bacterial small subunit ribosomal RNA", at positions 524 to 776 of the family's 1533-position model. The record is from RNAcentral.